This 435-nucleotide ribosomal RNA is filed under the name uncultured bacterium. RNAcentral describes it as "partial 16S ribosomal RNA". It matches the Rfam family "Bacterial small subunit ribosomal RNA", at positions 29 to 507 of the family's 1533-position model. The record is from RNAcentral.
AGCGAACGCUGGCGGCAGGCUUAACACAUGCAAGUCGAGCGGGCAUCUUCGGAUGUCAGCGGCAGACGGGUGAGUAACACGUGGGAACGUACCCUUCGGUUCGGAACAACUCUGGGAAACUGGAGCUAAUACCGGAUACGCCCUUAUGGGGAAAGGUUUACUGCCGAAGGAUCGGCCCGCGUCUGAUUAGCUGGUUGGUGGGGUAACGGCCUACCAAGGCGACGAUCAGUAGCUGGUCUGAGAGGAUGAUCAGCCACACUGGGACUGAGACACGGCCCAGACUCCUACGGGAGGCAGCAGUGGGGAAUAUUGGACAAUGGGGGCAAGCCUGAUCCAGCCAUGCCGGGUGAGUGAUGAAGGCCUUAGGGUUGUAAAGCUCUUUUGUCCGGGACGAUAAUGACGGUACCGGAAGAAUAAGCCCCGGCUAACUUCGUG